AUGAAGGACGACGCUAGCCCCGGACCAGACGGUUUUGGCCCAUCUUUCUAUAAAUCAUAUUGGAACCUAAUCAAAUCUGAUCUCUUAAAUUUACUAAACGAAUUCCAUGCGGGCACCGCGGAUCUUAAGCGAAUCAACACUGCUCACAUUGUGCUCCUUCCCAAAAAAUCGGAUGCUGCCUCGCCGGAGAACUAUAGGCCGGUUUCACUCCAAAAUUGCUCUGUAAAGCUAACGUCCAAGUGCCUCUCUCUAAGGGCUCAACCCCUCAUCAAUCAUCUAAUUCACUACGAUCAAACCGGCUUCGUCAGAGGACGUGGGAUUGCCAAAAAUUUUCUUCACGCUUCUGAUCUAGUCCAAACCUGUUUCAAACGUCGGCUUCCGGCAAUCGUCCUUAAGCUAGAUUUCCACAAGGCCUUUGACUCAGUUUCUUGGACCGGCCUUACCAACAUCCUGAAGGCUCAAGGAUUUCCUCCGCUCUGGUGUCGCUGGGUGCACAGUUUAAACACCACGGCCAGCUCAGCCGUUCUGCUCAACGGUAAACCGGGGCCCUGGUUCCAGUGCCGCAAAGGAUUGCGACAAGGCGACUCCCUCUCCCCCUAUCUGUUCAUUUUAGUGGCCGAUGUCUUAAAACGUCUUAUU
This 639-nucleotide ribosomal RNA is filed under the name Triticum aestivum (bread wheat). RNAcentral's name for it is "partial small subunit ribosomal RNA". Lineage: Eukaryota; Viridiplantae; Streptophyta; Magnoliopsida; Poales; Poaceae. The record is from RNAcentral.